GGCGGGGUAGCUCAGUUGGUAGAGCAACGGACUGAAAAUCCGUGUGUCCCCGGAUCGAUUCCGGGCCCCGCCACCA
Molecule: transfer RNA, 76 nt
Filed under: Synergistaceae bacterium
Lineage: Bacteria; Thermotogati; Synergistota; Synergistia; Synergistales; Synergistaceae
Also listed under: 1 other name
Description: tRNA-Phe
Rfam family: tRNA
About the family: Transfer RNA (tRNA) molecules are approximately 80 nucleotides in length. Their secondary structure includes four short double-helical elements and three loops (D, anti-codon, and T loops).
Source: RNAcentral